GAUGAACGCUGACAGAAUGCUCAACACAUGCAAGUCGACUCGAGUCUUCGGACUUGGGUGGCGCACGGGUGAGUAACGCGUAAAGAACUUGCCUCUUAGACCGGGACAACAUCUGGAAACGGAUGCUAAUACCGGAUAUUAUGGUUUUUUCGCAUGGAGGAAUCAUGAAAGCUAGAUGCGCUAAGAGAGAGCUUUGCGUCCCAUUAGCUGGUUGGUGAGGUAACGGCCCACCAAGGCAAUGAUGGGUAGCCGGCCUGAGAGGGUGAACGGCCACAAGGGGACUGAGACACGGCCCUUACUCCUACGGGAGGCAGCAGUGGGGAAUAUUGGACAAUGGACCGCAAGUCUGAUCCAGCAAUUCUGUGUGCACGAUGACGUUUUUCGGAAUGUAAAGUGCUUUCAGUCGGGAAGAAGUCAGUGACGGUACCGACAGAAGAAGCGACGGCUAAAUACGUGCCAGCAGCCGCGGUAAUACGUAUGUCGCAAGCGUUAUCCGGAUUUAUUGGGCGUAAAGCGCGUCUAGGCGGCAAGGAAAGUCUGAUGUGAAAAUGCGGAGCUCAACUCCGUAUGGCGUUGGAAACUGCCUUACUAGAGUACUGGAGAGGUAGGCGGAACUACAAGUGUAGAGGUGAAAUUCGUAGAUAUUUGUAGGAAUGCCGAUGGGGAAGCCAGCCUACUGGACAGAUACUGACGCUAAAGCGCGAAAGCGUGGGUAGCAAACAGG
This 724-nucleotide ribosomal RNA is filed under the name uncultured Fusobacterium sp. RNAcentral describes it as "bacterial SSU rRNA". It matches the Rfam family "Bacterial small subunit ribosomal RNA", at positions 28 to 776 of the family's 1533-position model. The record is from RNAcentral. Lineage: Bacteria; Fusobacteriati; Fusobacteriota; Fusobacteriia; Fusobacteriales; Fusobacteriaceae.